GGGGAAUAUUGGACAAUGGGCGCAAGCCUGAUCCAGCCAUGCCGCGUGAGUGAUGAAGGCCUUAGGGUUGUAAAGCUCUUUUAUCCGGGACGAUAAUGACGGUACCGGAAGAAUAAGCCCCGGCUAACUUCGUGCCAGCAGCCGCGGUAAUACGAAGGGGGCUAGCGUUGCUCGGAAUCACUGGGCGUAAAGGGCGCGUAGGCGGACAUUUAAGUCAGGGGUGAAAUCCCGGGGCUCAACCUCGGAAUUGCCUUUGAUACUGGGUGUCUCGAGACCGGAAGAGGUAAGUGGAACUGCGAGUGUAGAGGUGAAAUUCGUAGAUAUUCGCAAGAACACCAGUGGCGAAGGCGGCUUACUGGUCCGGUUCUGACGCUGAGGCGCGAAAGCGUGGGGAGCAAAC
Molecule: ribosomal RNA, 400 nt
Filed under: uncultured bacterium
Lineage: Bacteria
Description: bacterial SSU rRNA
Rfam family: Bacterial small subunit ribosomal RNA
Source: RNAcentral